RNAcentral lists this ribosomal RNA (519 nucleotides) under uncultured bacterium. RNAcentral describes it as "partial 16S ribosomal RNA". It matches the Rfam family "Bacterial small subunit ribosomal RNA", at positions 28 to 507 of the family's 1533-position model. The record is from RNAcentral.
GACGAACGCUGGCGGCGUGCCUAAUACAUGCAAGUCGAGCGAGCUUGCCUAGAUUACUUUGGUUCUUGCACCAGAUGAAACUAGAUACAAGCGAGCGGCGGACGGGUGAGUAACACGUGGGUAACCUGCCCAAGAGACUGGGAUAACACCUGGAAACAGAUGCUAAUACCGGAUAACAACACUAGACGCAUGUCUAGAGUUUAAAAGAUGGUUCUGCUAUCACUCUUGGAUGGACCUGCGGUGCAUUAGCUAGUUGGUAAGGCAACGGCUUACCAAGGCAAUGAUGCAUAGCCGAGUUGAGAGACUGAUAGGCCACAUUGGGACUGAGACACGGCCAAAACUCCUACGGGAGGCAGCAGUAGGGAAUCUUCCACAAUGGACGCAAGUCUGAUGGAGCAACGCCGCGUGAGUGAAGAAGGGUUUCGGCUCGUAAAGCUCUGUUGGUAGUGAAGAAAGAUAGAGGUAGUAACUGGACUUUAUUUGACGGUAAUUACUUAGAAAGUCACGGCUAACUACGUG